Molecule: long non-coding RNA, 153 nt
Organism: Octopus sinensis (East Asian common octopus)
Lineage: Eukaryota; Metazoa; Mollusca; Cephalopoda; Octopoda; Octopodidae
Exons: 3
Source: RefSeq, a predicted model, not a curated record
UCAUGUACAUUCAUACUUUAAAGGCGGCGAGUCAGCAGAAAGGUUAGCACGCCGGGCGAAAUGCUUAGCAGUAUUUCGUCUGCCGUUACGUUCUGAGUUCAAAUUCCGCCGAGGUCAACUUUGCCUUUCAUCCUUUCGGGGUCGAUUAAAUAA